AUUGAACGCUGGCGGCAUGCCUUACACAUGCAAGUCGAACGGCAGCACGGGAGCAAUCCUGGUGGCGAGUGGCGAACGGGUGAGUAAAGUAUCGGAACGUGCCCAGUCGUGGGGGAUAACGUAGCGAAAGUUACGCUAAUACCGCAUACGAUCUAUGAAUGAAAGCGGGGGAUCGCAAGACCUCGCGCGAUUGGAGCGGCCGAUAUCAGAUUAGGUAGUUGGUGGGGUAAAGGCUCACCAAGCCGACGAUCUGUAGCUGGUCUGAGAGGACGACCAGCCACACUGGGACUGAGACACGGCCCAGACUCCUACGGGAGGCAGCAGUGGGGAAUUUUGGACAAUGGGCGAAAGCCUGAUCCAGCCAUGCCGCGUGUAGGAUGAAGGCCUUCGGGUUGUAAACUGCUUCUGUACGGAACGAAAAGGUUUGGCCUAAUAAGCUGAGCUCAUGACGGUACCGUAAGAAUAAGCACCGGCUAACUACGUGCCAGCAGCCGCAGUAA
RNAcentral lists this ribosomal RNA (500 nucleotides) under uncultured bacterium. Its description in RNAcentral is "partial 16S ribosomal RNA". It matches the Rfam family "Bacterial small subunit ribosomal RNA", at positions 30 to 523 of the family's 1533-position model. The record is from RNAcentral.